Molecule: ribosomal RNA, 440 nt
Filed under: uncultured bacterium
Lineage: Bacteria
Description: bacterial SSU rRNA
Rfam family: Bacterial small subunit ribosomal RNA
Source: RNAcentral
AACGCGAAGAACCUUACCUGGGUUUGACAUGCACAGGAAACAGCCAGAGAUGGUUGCCCCGUAAGGUCUGUGUGCAGGUGGUGCAUGGCUGUCGUCAGCUCGUGUCGUGAGAUGUUGGGUUAAGUCCCGCAACGAGCGCAACCCUCGUUCCAUGUUGCCAGCGCGUAAUGGCGGGGACUCAUGGGAGACUGCCGGGGUCAACUCGGAGGAAGGUGGGGAUGAGGUCAAGUCAUCAUGCCCCUUAUGUCCAGGGCUUCACACAUGCUACAAUGGCCGGUACAGAGGGCUGCGAAUCCGUGAGGUGGAGCGAAUCUCUUAAAGCCGGUCUCAGUUCGGAUCGGGGUCUGCAACUCGACCCCGUGAAGUCGGAGUCGCUAGUAAUCGCAGAUCAGCAACGCUGCGGUGAAUACGUUCCCGGGCCUUGUACACACCGAGACGAC